Molecule: long non-coding RNA, 7845 nt
Filed under: Triticum aestivum (bread wheat)
Lineage: Eukaryota; Viridiplantae; Streptophyta; Magnoliopsida; Poales; Poaceae
Description: long non-coding RNA (TAES_LNC011441)
Source: RNAcentral
CUUCCUCCUCGGGAUACUUCUUCCAGUCUUUGAAAAAUCUGCACCACAAUCAAAGAUCUUGUGUUUUAUGGCAGCUCACGUUAUGACAACUAUUAAAGAUUCAAUACAACUUAGUCUUAUAUGCUAACCACAAUGUUUGCUUGCCCUUGGACAGUACAACAGAAUAAAAUAGGAGGUGCAAAUCCAGAACAAUGUAUGUUGGGUGACAGGGCAUAAUAAUAACAAAUCUAUUGAGAACAAAGGACCAACUCAAGCUAGCAUGUGUUGAUAUGCCCCUACAGCCGAGCCAUCAUUUCUGUGCACGGUCAUGACCAAAAUGAUAAGGUCAUGCAUAGCCAAUCCUCAAAUGCACGUAAGAGGAAUGUAUAGCAUAUGGGUUAACUAACUAACGAAUAUGAGGAUCACACAAAACACAUCAAAAGUAUGAUUACUUUAAGAGAUACCCAGUCUAGAGCCUAGGCUUCCUGUUCGGAGGGCAAAGCUUCUUUUCCUGUUCGGAGAAAAACAGUGAAAUAAGCAGACACGACAAAGAUAGAUAUUGUUAUAAACUUAUGGGGAAAGCAAAAGUACAUACCUUGAAAUACCAUCGAUCUCAUCUGCUAAGGUAGAAGAAUAUCCACCCAGCAUUGUACUCUUCUAGAAGAACAAAGCAAAAAGGCAUAUUAAAUCAGCAUUCAAAUAAUGGUCUUUGCUCAAAUGAGAUAUGCAAAAGACCUCAACAUUAUUAACCCAUGGCGGACCCCACAUGGCCCCGUUUUAACUAACUCCGGCAAUAGAUAAUAUAUAUGUAUUACUCAAUAUAUCUCAUAAUGGAAAUGUCGAGAGGCAGCAGGGAGAUGAAAUAAUAUAACACUUUUUCAUAUCUUGCAUAAUUCCAAGAGCACGUAUAGCCUUCUCAAAGAAGAAAACAAAAUGGGUAAGAAAACAUCUAGCCAAUAAGUAGAUACAGAUGUAUAGUAAAGGAAAAAACAUUCAGCAUCUCAAUAGAGGAAAAAAUAGCACAGGUGCAUCAGAAAAGCCACAGUUCAAAGAAAUAUAUAUGUGUAUAAAAGCAAAAUCAUGCAAGACAACUCAAGAACUUUUAGCAAACCUACAACUGCAAGAAAAUUCAGAAGGGUAUGUUAAUAAUAAAGGAAGGGCACAGUUUAGGAUCUAAAUAGCGACAUUAGUGUUGUACCCGACGAUAGCUAGUUGUGUGAAAAUGAAACAAUAUCGACAGACGCGGCAUUUAACAAAAAAAAUGUAGGUAGAGCAAUACAAAAUAGGGUUUAAUUAUCCUUUUGCCCUCAGUGGUGUCCAUGUGCUCAGUUUUGCCCUCAGAUGCGAAUUGUCCUCAGUUUUGCCCCUAGUCCGUGCGCACCGACUCGUUCCGUGAACUCUGCCGUCUCCGUCAGGUCAACCUUUUGACUCGGCCCUUACAGGUGGGACCAGGCGGCAGAAACGGCCAAUUUUAUUCAGACCGUUGCACGCGUGGCUUGUGGGACCCAGCAAAGAGCCGUUGAGCAGAGAGCCGUUGGCGGGUGUGCUAUAUAAGUGGGCGACAUCGGCGGUGACCACGGCGACAGAGAGCACGGCGGUGACCACGGCGAGAGAGAGAGCACGGCGGCAGGAAGCUAGCUGUGGAGGGCGCGGCGGUGGGAAGCUAGCAGUGGAGGGCGCGGCGGCGUUGAGAUCCCCUUCGGCUCCGAGCUCCAUGUCUUCCUCAAGCUCCCGCGCCACCUCGCGGAUGCAGAGCCGGGCGCGUGUGGACAUGCCUGUCUUCGUCUGUCCGCGGUGCCGGGCGGGCGUUGAUCGAAGGGUUUCUCAGACACCGAGGAACCAGAAUCAUCCGUUCUACGUGUGCAGCGAGAAUGGGGUAAGAAUCGGGGCAAUUGCACCAUUUUCGUCGUCGGGAUGUUUGAGCAAUGGGUUGAUCUGUUUAGUGUUCAUGCAGGUGACAUGGUUCUUUCUUUGGGUCGAUGCUUUGGCCAAGACUCUGAUGAAUGAACUGCAAGAAGAGCAUGAAGAAUGGUUGCGCAUGCUGCCACGAACGGCAGUGGCCACACCACGAGCCCCGGAAGAAGAGAUGGAUGGCGAAGCACGCACUGACAGAGAGCUAGCUAUUGAGCUUAGGAUGUUGAAGAAGAAGGUUAGGAAGCUUGAAGAUCAAGCACUACCAAUACCCAUUUGCAAAUACUUUUGGGCAUUUGUAGGUAUGGUAAUCGCACUGGUUGUAAUGUUGAAAAUGUAUGGAAAGGCAUGAAUUAUGAAGGAAUUUGUAAUCUUGAAAUUGUUUGAGAAAUUCACCUAGUUUAAAUGUUGGUUAAAGUUGUUUAAAUGUUGAAACAAAAAGAGAAGAAGUGACCAACAUUUAAAUAUGUUGGAAAAAAAGAAAGGAAAUUAGGAAUUCAGAAACUUUUGAUCAAUGAAAUGCAGCUCUCUGCUCUGCCUUUCUGUCCGAAAAAAAGGUUGCUCUUGGGCCAAAUUCAGAGCGUAGAGCCAAGUGCAGGCUAGACUAAUGGGCCAACUGCAUCCAAUUAGGCCCAUUCAGGGGUUUUCUUGCGUAUUUUUUUGUUUUCUAUUCUGAGUUAAUUUAGGCAGUAAAUCAUAAUGCUGAAACUUUUUGUGGAAGCUAAUUGAAUUAUUCCGGAGCCAAACAAUUAAGGUUAGAAAUUUUUCGGAGCUGUUAAUUAAUCCAAUUCAAAUACACCGUGAUUUAAAUCAAAGACCAAAAUGUCAUGGAAAAUGUGCCUCAGCUCUGGUAGAGGUUUACGCCAGGUGCCAAAAUAAAUGAACAUUUUUUAAGGGCAUUACAUUGAGGAAAACAUAAUAUGUAUAAAAAAUGAAGGGUGGAAAAUGCACAAAAAAUUGGUGCGGCUGGGGACUCGAACCCAGGACCGCGUGGGUUUGUGGUGUUUAGGGCUGCGCUGGUAACCGCUAGGACAGAUGGCAAGACUUUAACAUAGGUAGGGAAGGAAGGUAUACAUAGUGAGACUGUGAAUUUUUAAAAAAAAAUAGUGAGACCGUGAAUGUUUGCACACGCGUGAGAGUGGUUUUCCUUUGUUUUGCACUUAAAUUUUGGAGGGUUGGAAGGUUAAAAAUGUAUGUUGCACUACCACAUGAUUUUGGUCAGAGUGGCACUUAGUUUAGGGUUAGAGUGGCACUUGGUUUAGGAUUUAAAGGGAAUAAAUUUACAUGUUAGUUCAUGACUUUUUGUUUGAAUGAAACAGAGGGCUUCUCACCCCCUACGAUUUUCAUUAAUGAAAACCACAAGUUUUUGAACUUCAUGACUUGUUUAGGGAAGAAAUGAUAAGUUUGGGCAUGGACAUUUUUUAACACACAUAAUGAGAUAGAACACACCGUACCAUUACAAUAACUUAGAUAAGUUCAUGGACAGUUCAUGGACACAUGACGAAACAUGACACGACACGACAUGACAUAGAAAAGCAACAAAAUAAAAAACCAAACAUGACGAGCUUGACUCCGGGCUUGAACAUCUUCAUCUUGACCUCCUUCUUCCACCUUGGCCGCGCGCGCCCCUUCAACACCAUCUUCAUCUUCACACCUCCUCCUCGUCGUCGUAGGGAAGGGAGUGCAUCUGGCCUGGAGCGGGGAAGAUGCGCUCGUAGUUGGUGUAGAUGUUGUAGAUGGUGAAGAAGAUGGCCUCGCAGCCGCACCAAAAGACUUGGCCGAGGAGCUCGCGCGCGUCAAAUGGGUUGGUGAAGGUGACCGUGAGCAGAAGGAGGAUGCCGUCGUGGUCACGAACCUCGUUGAGGGUGAACAUCCUCGGCGAGCCCCGUGGGAGGUGGGCAUAGCCGGCUCUGAGGAAGGCGCGGGUGAGUUCGACGGAACCCCUCCACCUUGAAAUAGCCCACACACGGAGCUCCCUCUCCACGAGCACGCCCGGUGGGUAGCGCAGCUCCGGCACCACAGGCAGACGGCGGAAGGUCGGCCCGUUGAAUUGCAUCUUCUUCACUUGGUCUCGCUUGGGGAGGGCUUCGUCGCUUGGGUGUUUGAAGUUGGAGAGAAUCGGAUCUGGCUUGUGGGUGGGAGAGGAAGAGAGGCACCCCAUUUAUAGGCCUGUGGGUGGGAGAGGAAGGGAGAAAGGAUGAGAACGGUGCGUGCGUGAAUCCGGACGCGUGUGUGUAUCCGUUACGUUUUGCACACUUAAAUUUUUGCAUGAAAACGAUGCAUCUUUGACCGGGCAGUGCAUGUGAACCGCUGCCCUGAACCACUGCCCUGAACCACCUAGCUCGCCUUGCUAGCCUAGCUCGCCUAGCUGGCCUAGCGCGCCUCGCUCGCCUCACUCGCAUGCAUGCACGUCGCCGCCUCCCGCGCAUGCGCAAACCCACGUAGCCGCCUCCAUGCAUGCAAGGCCUGGAAAGGCUGAGACGGGCUAUUUACUGCGAUCUCAGGCCCAGACAACGAGACGGCCCAACGGUCCAUCCAGCGCGUCCGAUAUUUGUUAAAAAAACAAUCUCCCAGCCAAUCAGAUUGCAUCUCGCGGAUCGCCCCCCUCCUCCCCGCAGAUUUCUUCUAGAAGGGUUAGAUCGACGGCCCUUGAUCACCGCUAGGGUUAGAUGAACGGUCCUUAUUCAGCGCUAGGGUUAGCGGGGUUUGGGAGGGGUUUGGAGCAGUCAAAGCUAUGUUUGACCAGAUUUCAAAUGAGCAUAAUAAAUUAAAUAAAAAUCAGAAAAAUGAAAAACCUGCGCACAUAGUCUUCUUAUGUCAUAUACUAACGNNNNNNNNNNNNNNNNNNNNNNNNNNNNNNNNNNNNNNNNNNNNNNNNNNNNNNNNNNNNNNNNNNNNNNNNNNNNNNAUUUCAAAUGAGCAUAAUAAAUUAAAUAAAAAUCAGAAAAAUGAAAAAUCUGCGCACUAGUCUUCUUAUGUCAUAUACUAACGAUUUAAAUUGAUAAACAAGCUUUACAUACAUUUAAAUGAUAAGUUCAUGUGUAUUGUAUGAUAUCUCGAGUAUCUCAAACUCUCUGGUAUGAAGUGAAGAGAAGUGUUUUGGGGAAAUGAACAUGAAAAUUUCAAAAAACUCACCACAGCUUCAUUUUGGAGUGACUAAGAAGGAUCCAUGCUUAGUUUUUCAUUUUGAUGUUUUAAACUUGUUUAAAUCUUGGUCAAAGUUAAGUUUGACCAGAAUUCAAAUGAGCAAAACAAAUUUAAAAAAAAUUCAAAAAAUGGAAAAACCAGCGCACAUAGUCUGUACAUAUAGAAUAUAUGUGUAGGAAAGUUAUUUGGCUGAUCUAGAUAAGGUCAACAAAAACCUUGCUUAGAAAUGAGGCCGUUUACCCUACCUUUGGACCCCUCUUUUUAGCACAUUUUUCAUGAAAAUUUCAAAAACCUCACCACAACUUCAUUUUGGAUUGACUAAGAAGUAUCCAGGCUUAGUUUUUCAUUUUGAUGUUUUAGACUUGCUUAAAUCUUGGUCAAAGUUAAGUUUGACCAGAAUUUAAAUGAGCAAAACAAAAUUCAAAAAAAUCAAAAAAAGGAAAAACCAUGUGCUCAUUCAAACAUCAUCCAACAGAUAUUUAAACAUCAUGUCAAACAUACUUCUAACAUAGGUCCAACAUCAUCCAACAGAAAUACAACAUGUCAAGUGAUAAAUGUUUCAUAAUACAACAUCAUUCCUUAUUCAUAAUGUUUCAUAAUUGUUCAUGGAUAGCGUUGGGGCUUCUGUCUGUUUCUUGAGCUUCUUGCCAUCACUUUGCUCCUCGUGCACCUUGUGAUCAUUGUUUCUUCUCUUCUUCUCUUGGUUGUCGGUACCUUGCGCGUCUUCUUCAAACCUACCAUAGAGCUGUGCAAAACAUAAAGGGUCCAAACAUAAACGGUAAUGAGAUCGUGUCAAGUGAUAGAUAUACAGUAGUAUUUGACCCUUGCAAGAUUUACAUACCUAGCAGAACUCCAUUUGGAGCCUCACUUGGAUCACCAUGAUCACCAUUUAGAGCCUCACUUGGAUCACCAUUUGGAGCCUCACUUGGAUCAUCAUUUGGAGCCUCACUUGGAUCAUCAUUUGCAGCCUCCAUGGACAACCCUCAGUCGGACAGUGCACUCUGUAACGUACUUGAUCGCUCUUGUCAACUUUGAAAGUACGUUCUACCUUGAUGCAGUAUGUCACAAGUGCAUUUCUACACUCAUUCAUGGAUGCAAAAACUGUACCUUCUUCCAUUUGAGGGUUCAAAGGGCCCCAUUCAACAGCUGCAAGGUCUUCGUCCUCACCCAUCGCGUCAUCAUCCACACGGACUGCAUUGUGAGCCUCAUCUUGGUUUUCAGCCCGAGGUGCCCGUCGUAAAUUCUGAAUAACAUCAGAAUAUAACUUCUCUUCAUCAACCCCAGAAUUGUAGCCAUCAGGCUCCACUUCAAGGGGGACCCUACUGCUGUUGCCCACACUUGUCGAGCCACCACGUCGUCGUGCACCAACUGAACUGUUCUGGCUAGAGAUGCCAUUACGACGACUUGAUUCUCCCCGAGAUGUUGCACCCGCCAUCCUAGGUCCAAAUGCCUGCUCAAGCACAUCAACUUGCAGCCUCACAUGAAAAUUAUCUUUCUCUUUAUGCCUAACAAACAUGGUAGCUAGCUCUUCAUCAUUACUAACUGUCACCCAAUUCUUUUCACCAUCAUAGUAUUUGUAUACCACUUCAUCAAGCAAACCCCAAGGAUAUUGGCUACAAAUUACCUCCCCAAAUUGUCUGAAACUCCAAUUACUAGCCAUUGGCAACCGAUAAUCAAAACCUCCUUGGUAUUUCUUCUUAUCCUUUGCAUCGAACAUGUACCGGUCCCUUCUAAUGUGCACCAUGAAAGCAAACCGCAACUCCAUCCUAACCGGCGAAAAACAGAGACGCAAUCAGCACACUAAUUGGGCAAACCUACUCGAAUCGAGUGUUCAAAUGCACAACUAAGCUCAAUCUAAACAAGAGGCGAGACUUACCCCUCGGGAACCCAGUCGUGGACGCGGCGGAUCUCCGGCCCGAUGCCUGCCUCGCCAAAUACUCCGGGGUCGCCGCUGCUCACCAUUUCGCCCUAGGGUUCUUCCUCCUAGUUCAAAUAGCUCCAGCAGCCCCCCACCUUUGAGCGCUCCGGCCGGGCGCACGGAAGGAGGCCGCGCCGCGAAUCGAGCAGGUGGCGGGCGCCCCACCCGUGGCGUCGCAGGAAGGUGGUGGGCAUCACAAUGAGCCGUGAAGCGUAGGCGCAGGGAGGUAGCGGCGGAGCAGGCCGUGCAACUGGUGGCGGGGCAGGUGCUGGCCGAGGCGCAGGUGGCGGCGGCGGCGGCGCAGGACAGCCGGCCGGGCGGAUGGGUGUGAGCUAGAAUGAUUUGGGGAUUUAGUUGCAGGGGCCUACAUGUCAGCUCCGGACCCACGUCCACGCGGUCCCACGUGUAAGCUCCGGACCCACAACUACUAACGCCGGCGGACGGAAUGGACUCAAAUAUGGCCGUUUGGCCUCGUCGUAGUUGCUGUGCUCGGACUAGGGGCAAAACUGAGGACAAUUUGCAUCUGAGGGCAAAACUGAGCACAUGGACACCACUGAGGGCAAAAGGAUAAUUAACCCUACAAAAUAAACAUUAAUACAAAUUGACAGGCACAAGCAUAAUCAGAAAAUAUCUACCAAGAGCAUACCGAAUGCAUGACUGUUAUUGUUUCAUUCAUAGGUCCAGCCAUGACUAUUUCAAGUUCUCUAUGGGCAACACAAACUCACCAGGAAAUGAUCAUCAUCAGGCAUCUAUGGGCAAACAUCACCUUGUUUGCUUUGUGCUCAACUACUUUCUGAAAUAGAAAUAUAGAAGUUUCAGCAGCAAGCAGCCAAGUAAAGUGACACAUUAGUAAGGCUGCUAUUUAUAUCCCAUCAUAGCAAAUCAAUCUA